Molecule: ribosomal RNA, 394 nt
Filed under: uncultured bacterium
Lineage: Bacteria
Description: bacterial SSU rRNA
Rfam family: Bacterial small subunit ribosomal RNA
Source: RNAcentral
AUUGAACGCUGGCGGCAUGCCUUACACAUGCAAGUCGAACGGCAGCGGACCUUCGGGUGCCGGCGAGUGGCGAACGGGUGAGUAAUAUAUCGGAACGUACCUUUCAGUGGGGGAUAACGUAGCGAAAGUUACGCUAAUACCGCAUAUUCUGUGAGCAGGAAAGCAGGGGAUCGCAAGACCUUGCGCUGAUUGAGCGGCCGAUAUCAGAUUAGCUAGUUGGUGAGGUAAAGGCUCACCAAGGCGACGAUCUGUAGCGGGUCUGAGAGGAUGAUCCGCCACACUGGAACUGAGACACGGUCCAGACUCCUACGGGAGGCAGCAGUGGGGAAUUUUGGACAAUGGCGCGAGCCUGAUCCAGCCAUGCCGCGUGAGUGAAGAAGGCCUCGGUUGUAAG